CGGAAUUACUGGGCGUAAAGAGUGCGUAGGUGGUUGAUUAAGUUAUCUGUGAAAUCCCUGGGCUUAACCUGGGCAGGUCAGAUGAUACUGGUUGACUCGAGUAUGGGAGAGGGUAGUGGAAUUUCCGGUGUAGCGGUGAAAUGCGUAGAGAUCGGAAGGAACACCAGUGGCGAAGGCGGCUACCUGGCCUAAUACUGACACUGAGGCACGAAAGCGUGGGGAGCAAACAGGAUUAGAUACCCUGGUAGUCCACGCUGUAAACGAUGUCA
RNAcentral lists this ribosomal RNA (269 nucleotides) under uncultured Legionella sp. RNAcentral's name for it is "partial 16S ribosomal RNA". It matches the Rfam family "Bacterial small subunit ribosomal RNA", at positions 546 to 814 of the family's 1533-position model. Lineage: Bacteria; Pseudomonadati; Pseudomonadota; Gammaproteobacteria; Legionellales; Legionellaceae. The record is from RNAcentral.